GUGGGCAGCCGAAAGGAGAAGUAGUCAGUAUGAGGAAAUUAUUUUGGUGAAGAAAUAAAUAGAUGCAGUGAAAAUCUGGCCAGCAUGAAUCACAUGAUACACGUGCCAGUUUUUUCAGUGUUAGUUCCUAUUUUUGAAGCGUCAAACAAACAGUAUAUAAGCACUGAUUUUACUGCUGUUUAGCACCUUCUCACUGGACGGCUGAAGCUAUCGGUCGGUGCUGAAAUGAAAUCUACUCUACAAAUAUUCUACAUAUUCUCCAGAAGAGAUAUUAAAGAUCACCAUGAGGCUGCUGAUUGUGUUUGCACUUCUUUGUGUAAUGGUCCCUCUGAUCAUUACUGCUCAAAAAUCGGGCAGCAGUGGAGCAGAGGAUAAGCCACCAGAAGAGCAUCUUGUUGACAAGAGAAGCCGGGGGCUUUGGCGCAGAGCUUUUAGUGUCUUUGGAUACGGGAAAAAGGUGGACGAAUGAUAUGUACGGUCACCACUGAUACCGAUUUUGUCUGGGUCUGAAAAAGAAGAUGAUCCCUGGUCUUCCAUGAAAAGCCAUGGCCACCAGACAAAGAAGCAAAUCAUUUCAUCCAACCCUAAACUAUCAGUUUCCCUCUUAGAUCUUUACUUAUUUCCUUUCGCUGUACUGCUACAUAAUGAAUUUGGCAACAAGUGACACAAACUGGAGUGGACUGGACCGUGUCUUCUAAUAGCAAUAGCUGUUCAUUUCUGUUCUUAUUAUCUUCAUCAUUAAACUCUUAAGCAUUAAAUCAAA
Molecule: long non-coding RNA, 763 nt
Organism: Oreochromis aureus
Lineage: Eukaryota; Metazoa; Chordata; Actinopteri; Cichliformes; Cichlidae
Source: Ensembl